This is a non-coding RNA of Potamilus streckersoni, 74 nucleotides long. The record is from the annotation of a GenBank genome assembly. Lineage: Eukaryota; Metazoa; Mollusca; Bivalvia; Unionida; Unionidae.
UGCUCUGGUGGCCUAGUGGUUAGAGCGUCCGCCUCGGAUGCGGGAGGUCGCUGGUUCAAAACCAGGCCAAGUAC